GAUGAACGCUGGCGGCGUGCCUAACACAUGCAAGUCGAACGGAGAUUACGGACGGAAGUUUUCGGAUGGAAGCCUGUAAUUCUUAGUGGCGGACGGGUGAGUAACGCGUGGGCAACCUGCCCUAUACAGGGGGAUAGCAGCUGGAAACGGCUGGUAAGACCGCAUAAGUCGGUUAAAUCGCAUGAUUUGAUCGGGAAAUGAGCAAUCAGGUAUAGGAUGGGCCCGCGUCCGAUUAGCCAGUUGGCAGGGUAAAAGCUUACCAAAGCGACGAUCGGUAGCCGGACUGAGAGGUCGGACGGCCACAUUGGGACUGAGACACGGCCCAAACUCCUACGGGAGGCAGCAGUGGGGGAUAUUGCACAAUGGAGGAAACUCUGAUGCAGCGACGCCGCGUGAGUGAAGAAGUAUUUCGGUAUGUAAAGCUCUAUCAGCAGGGAAGAUGAUGACGGUACCUGACGAAGAAGCCCCGGCUAACUACGUG
This 481-nucleotide ribosomal RNA is filed under the name uncultured bacterium. RNAcentral's name for it is "partial 16S ribosomal RNA". It matches the Rfam family "Bacterial small subunit ribosomal RNA", at positions 28 to 507 of the family's 1533-position model. The record is from RNAcentral.